This 22-nucleotide non-coding RNA is filed under the name Arabidopsis thaliana (thale cress). Lineage: Eukaryota; Viridiplantae; Streptophyta; Magnoliopsida; Brassicales; Brassicaceae. The record is from RNAcentral.
UCUAAGUGCCACCGCAACAGAG